Molecule: transfer RNA, 67 nt
Filed under: Marmota monax (woodchuck)
Lineage: Eukaryota; Metazoa; Chordata; Mammalia; Rodentia; Sciuridae
Description: tRNA.Ala
Source: RNAcentral
GGCUGUGGCUCAGUGGUACAGCACUUGCCUAGCAUGUGUGAGGCACUGGGUUCGAUCCUCAGCACCA